GACGAACGCUGGCGGCGUGCUUAACACAUGCAAGUCGAACGGAAAGGCCCUGCUUUUGUGGGGUGCUCGAGUGGCGAACGGGUGAGUAACACGUGUGUAACCUGCCCUUGACUCUGGGAUAACUUCAGGAAACUGGGGCUAAUACCGGAUAGGAGCUCCUGCUGCAGGGUGCGGGUUGGAAGGUUUCGGUGGAUGGGGAUCGACCGGCGGAUCAUCUGCUUGUUGGUGGGGUAGUGGCUCACGAAGGCUUGGGCGGAUAGCCGGCCUGAGGGGGUGUCCGGCCACAUUGGGACUGAGAAACGGCCCAGACUCCGACGAGAGGCAGCAGUGAGGAAUAUUGCACAAUGGGCGGAAGACUGAUGCAGCAACGCCGCGUGCGGGAUGACGGCCUUCGGGUUGUAAACCACUUUCGCCUGUGACGAAGCGUUAGUGACGGUAACGGAAAAAGAAGCACCGGCUAACUACGUG
This 468-nucleotide ribosomal RNA is filed under the name uncultured bacterium. RNAcentral describes it as "partial 16S ribosomal RNA". It matches the Rfam family "Bacterial small subunit ribosomal RNA", at positions 28 to 507 of the family's 1533-position model. The record is from RNAcentral.